RNAcentral lists this long non-coding RNA (256 nucleotides) under Cricetulus griseus (Chinese hamster). RNAcentral's name for it is "lncRNA (ENSCGRG00015033929.1)". The record is from RNAcentral. Lineage: Eukaryota; Metazoa; Chordata; Mammalia; Rodentia; Cricetidae.
CCCAGCUCCACAAGGAGGUUUGCUCUCUGCCCUUACAUUUCUGGCUAUGAUGACAUAUGUGGCAAACAACCGGAGACAGGAGACUGAUGAUGGACCCAAGGAAUGUGAAGGCUCUCCCCGAAGACACUCCUGAAAGCAGCUCCAUGGACCCUAAGAAGUACAUAAUUCAAGAGUGUCUUCUCAAGAGAUCUGCCUCUCAUUUCCCUGGCCUGCUAACAGCAGGAAGCAUAUCAUCCCUGGGCUCGAUGGAAAUGAG